Caenorhabditis elegans is the source of this 2349-nucleotide long non-coding RNA. Ensembl annotates it as ncRNA. Its record names the gene linc-154. Lineage: Eukaryota; Metazoa; Nematoda; Chromadorea; Rhabditida; Rhabditidae. The record is from Ensembl.
CUAAGGAAUGAAUAAGUUAGUUCAUAGAGUUCACGUUAUACGAUCUUCUUAGCCACGUCGUUGGUCAAUACACGUUGAUACCCAACAAUAAAUAAAUUGAAGUUUAAUUAAUUUAAAAAAAAUAAGAGGAAAUAAUACACAAGUACCCAUUGAACUAGGUUUAUAAAAAAGUUUGGAUAAAGGUUUCGCAUAUUUUCAAUUAGAAUUGAUUCAACAAAAAUGAAGAAAUUUCAAAAACAUCAUACCCCAAAAAUUGAAUCUUUGGAUUUUUCACUCCCAAAUGGCCAGUGCACAACAAAAGGUAACAUAAAAAUGUGUGACUUAGUAGAUUCAAAAUAUUGUAAAACAGAAGGACAAGGAAGUAAAGUAUUCGGUGGCUCACUUGGUUUUUGAUCUAAAAAAAACUACUCAUAAUGAGUCUAAACAAAUGAAACCCGUAUAAAUUUUGUAUUACGAGAGGACUUGUAUAAGAGGAUUCAUAUGAAGAAAAUCUAGAACAAUCUCUAGAGAAUAAUGUCCGUAAAUACUAAAAACGGGACUAUCGCGGUUAGCCAACUACUUCAAAAAUAUUGAUGCCCAUUUUAUAAACGGUAAAACCCCUAACUGUAACCUUGGUCAAUAAUUUAUUAAAAUAUACAAGUUUUUAUAUAUUACUAAACAAAAACUUCAAAUAAAAAGGCAACGCAUAUUGUCACGUCAACACUUUUCUUCAAUGUGUGAAUGUUUUUCAGUAUUCGCAGAUUUUUAGAGCGCCAAUUGACUUGUAGUAAAAACUCUGUUUUUUUUUAAAUAUACAAUGUGAGAAAAAACAAUAACACGGCGGAGAACACCAAAUGCCGUGUUAAUUCUGUACAGUCGACCAUAAAAAACUCGAAUGAAUUGCCACGUAAAGAACCACAGACGUUUUUUUUUCGAUCAGCAAUUAAAAACUGAAAUUUUUAGAUAGUUGUUCUUUCAGAAGAAGAAGUUUUAAAUUUUUUUUGCUUUCAGUUUCCUGAACUGUUACUUCAUUAUAAAAUGGUAGAUUUCUGAAAUUGAACUGAUCUGAAACACGGCGAUUUUUCUGGCACGAGAAUAUAAGUGGAUUUAGUUAAAGUUAACCUUGCAUAAUUUGACAACUUUUUAUUUUUUUGAAAAUUGUUUAAUUUGUUAAACGAUACUUUUAGUAGUGGGUGUCUUUUUUUUUCACAAACAAGCAGGUGCAUUUGCCAAGUCAAAUACGAUAUGACUCCGUGCAUCUGCUGGUUUUCAUUUCUUUUUACUUCCCGGUUGACCGAUACUAUUUCACAGGUGUUACAAGUUUAAUUCAGAAAUAUUUCGUCAACUCAUUUCCAUAAUUUUCAUGCUCCUCUAAUUUUCAUUACCUAAUAUCAAGUUGUUGUGCAAACGAGUAAACUGAAUGCAUAAUCUUGUGAGCGAGAAUCACAUAUCUUCCAUCUGUUGCAGAUGAAUAUUGCACCAACACCUGCCAUUGGCUAAUUACUCUAUUGAAGCCGUUCCGUAUUCCAUUCUGUUCUUUCUCCAUUCAGACAAGCCGAACGAUGACUGAUCAGGUCAUGCAGGUGCAUGUGAAAGAUUCGCGGUUUUAUUUUAUUUGACUCAUGGGUUCCCUUAUUCUCGGUCCUUUCAAGAUUUUAUGUUUCAUAAAGAGCUUGGUGUUGUGCAACAUUUUACAUUUUGUGCCCUAAUUUAAGGAGAUGAUUAACUGUUCUUUUAAUAAUAAAGUUUUAUUAAAAUUACCCCUUGUCAAACUGAUUGUGAAAACUUUUUUCUGCAAUUGAAAAUUUCCUGCAUUUUUUGAUGAUUUUUUCACACUUUUAAAUGAAAACUUGAAUCGAAUCGUUUUUCCUUUGAAAAAACCGAAUUAACUAAAAAAUGCUACUUGCCUACGCUUUUUUAUAUUUGAAAUCGAAUGAAACUGGCAAAUGUAAACUUUUUAGUGUGGGAGCAAGUACUAUUUUGGAAAUAGUUAUUUCAGUUGAAUAAAGUGUCCACUGAACUAGUCAUGAACUAGUCAUAAACUAGUCAAAAAAAAUCUAGUACCUUACGUUUCAAAAAAAUUUUCAAAAAAUUUACAAAUGUUAUUAUAACAAAUCAUUGAUUUAAACGAAUAAAUCUUCUCUCUCCUUGUCAUUAGAAAAUCGUAAUGCCCCGCCCUCGCCACACAAACUACAGCAGUGCGCGGAACCCGGCAGGUGUCGGCCGCCGCCAAACACCUACUCCUGCAUCGUUCUGUGUGUUUUAAUGUGUUUUUUGUUGAGGUAUCUUUAUAUCAAUAAUGAAUAAUGUCGCCACCCCAUAGAAAUAUUUUCUAUGUCAACCUCUUGCACGGUUGCCGUAGUUAAUUUU